AUACAGCUGACGAGUUCCAAAUAGGACGAAAUGCGCUUUGUCCUGGAU
RNAcentral lists this non-coding RNA (48 nucleotides) under Schistosoma mansoni. The record is from RNAcentral. Lineage: Eukaryota; Metazoa; Platyhelminthes; Trematoda; Strigeidida; Schistosomatidae.